This is a long non-coding RNA of Papaver somniferum (opium poppy), 1404 nucleotides long. RefSeq lists it as uncharacterized. Lineage: Eukaryota; Viridiplantae; Streptophyta; Magnoliopsida; Ranunculales; Papaveraceae. The transcript is spliced from 3 exons. The record is from RefSeq and is a predicted model, not a curated record.
UUGAAAUCGAUCUUUACACAAAUAAAGGAUGUUUAGAGGUGCAGCUCGUGGCGGAACUUCUUUUGGAAUGUACUAGGCUCUUGAACGACGUGAUGGUGACAAUCAGAACUAUCUUGGAAAAAGGUGUUUGCAGAGCUGUUACAAAUACCAAUGAGAAGGUCGCUGAAGCUCUAGUUAGUACUAAUCCAACACUGCCGUCCCAGAUCGACCAGGCUAUGAUAGAUUUGGAGAAGACUGAAAAUGAGGUUGAACUUGGCGCAAAUGCUAUACUAGCUGUUCUGAUUGUUUUCUGUCACCACCUUCACAGAGAAAAUCAAUUGAGGAGUCGUGCCAACCAGCUCUAAUACCUAUCAUCAUUUAAAGGCUAUUAUUAUCGGAAAGUAUGGAAGAAAUGGGUGCAAUGUUGAUGAAGCUGGUGGAUUUGCCUUAAAUAUGCCAAGUUUCACUAAAGGCUCAAACCUCGUCAAGGAACCAAUUGACAGAGGAGAUUACAGUGAUAGAAUUAAGAUAGCAAUGGAUGUUGCGGCUACUGAUUUUUGCGUUGUUGGAGUCUUGGAGAUGACUUGUUGAUGUCAAACCUGAAACGUACUGAGAAAGCAAUAGAUGAAAUCACUUGCAACAUGCUCGUCUUAAAGGUGAAUCAGAUUGGGACUGUUACUGAAAUCAUCGAAGCUGUGAAGCUAGCUAAGAAUGCCAACUGGGGAGUAGUAACUUCCCAAAGAUGUGGAGAAACUGAAUAUUCCUUCAUAGUUGAAGCUGAUUUAUCUGUGGUCCUGCCCACCAGUCAGAUCACCUAGCCAGGGGUGAACAGCUUGCUAAUAUAACCAGUUGCUUUGGAUUGAAGAAGAGCUAGGUGAUCAAGCGGUUUAAGUGGGGUGCUGUAUCCACUUUUCUAUAGGUGGUCGCUAAGAGUAGGAAACAUUAAACAGAUGGAUGAGGUUGGUUCUUGUCUGAUGCAUGAAAGGAUAAUUAUCAUAAUAGAAGUCACAAAUAACAGAUGAACAGAAGCAGAAUAGCAGUACUGUUUUCUUUUUCAAUACCUGUCCUACUUCCUUUUUUUCCCUUAUAAAAAAAAGAUGAAGAAAAUGAUUAACACAAAAACAUGCUCCUAUGGUAUAACUUCGAACUGAAGGCAAUAAAAAGCAAUGAGAGUAAUGGAGGGAAGAUAUGGAAUUCGCAGCCUUGCAGAUGUUGUUUUGUUGACAAUGAUCAAAUAACUACAGGACGGCCCAAGGCUCUGAAAGGCUUAUUAUCCCCUCUGGAUGGCAACAACCGUUGGCAUUGGGUUUGUCCAAGCAGGAGUUUGACUUAAACUGUCCUGAGAAGUACACUCACCGACUUGGAUCCGUUUUGUUUACGGCACAAGAAUUGCACACAAGCCUGUUUUGCUGGAUGUGCACUUGA